Molecule: non-coding RNA, 1436 nt
Organism: Ictidomys tridecemlineatus (thirteen-lined ground squirrel)
Lineage: Eukaryota; Metazoa; Chordata; Mammalia; Rodentia; Sciuridae
Source: RefSeq, a predicted model, not a curated record
UGCAAUCCUCCUGCCUCAGCCUCCUGAGUCCCUGGGAUUACAGGCCUGGGCCACUCACUGUAGUACCCACUGAGUGACAGGCAUUUCAAAUGGAACAAUGAGAACCAGAAAGCCAAUUAUAAUGGGAGCAUAAACUUCUAAGGGUGAAAUAUGCCCCAAAGGCACAUUGACCAGAAAGUUUUAAGAGGGAUGCUUAUUUAAGUGAGCAUCCUGAUCUUUGAAGUUCUCUGGAUCAGUUUAUUCUACAGUUUCCCCAAUGUUAUUUCUCCUUCCAGUGAACGAGAUAACUUCUGUGCUUCCGAAGAAAAACGUUACUUUAGUAUCCUUCUCUGGGCCUCACUAAAAUGAGGGACGUUUUGACAAGUGUCUUACACGUGGUUUAUGCAGAGGACGGCACAGUCUAUGGUACACAGAGAGGGUCACCACCACAGAGCAGACGCACGUCUCUGGAAAGGGGAGGAGGUUCUGGGUAUCCUGGAGACUAAGGCAAUUCUGUGACAGAUUGGGGGCUGUUUAGUCCUCCGACAGCAAGCAGAGGGGCACCUGGUUAGAACAGCUUCGCAAACGGAUCAGCACAGGAGGACUGGCCACUAAAGUCAUCCAUUUAGCCCCAAGAAGGUGAGAGGAUUCAAGGAGACGCAGUCUGCCAAGAACCUAAUGCGCAAUCUGUGGUUGAAAAGCCAUGUAUCAGUGGAGAAUUUGAUUCCUGUUCCUCCUGGCAUGUGAAUAUGUGGAGACGUAUGGGCAGACGCGUUUGGCUGCUUCUGAAUCAUAACAAGGGGCUGUGGUUCUGGGUGCAAAGACCACGAGACUCUGUCAAGCAUGCCAGCUUAGAAGAAAUUAAUAAAUGAAGAUUUAUGUCACCAUUGUCGGGCAUAAAUGAGCGUCUACAUAAAGCACACCCAGAAGGGAACUUUGGGAUGUGCUCUCAGAGAACAGGUGAAGUCGGCUGGGCUACGCUGUCUUAGUGGUUCCUGGAGGCUGACGCUAACUGCAGACCUGAGUGCCUUCAGGGCAGAGGAGAGAAACAUAAUCCACAGCCGGCUGGGAAGGGACCAGGUGUAGGGAUUCCCAGGAGGCCCUCAAAACGGGGCUUCACGAUGGGACAGGAUGCGUCCAGAGAGGUGGAGUAAGUACUGCACAGAGUUUGGUUAACCAAAACCCGCCCUGUGUGUCUCAGCUGUCCACAGAGAGAGCCCUGGACCGCAGAGAGGGCGGGUCUCUUAAGUUCUGAAGUUUGCAUCUUCCCAGAGGGAAAUGAUCUCGGGUCUGUAGAGACGGGAAGAGGAAGACGACUCAUUCAUCUUGUAUCCUGAAGUUAUGUCCUUCCUGAUGCUUGUUAAAAUUUCAUGUCUUUAAUGAAAUAAUGGUACUUGAAUUUUUAAUGUCCUUACCUGACAAAUUAAAAAUGGCCUGAAGCCUAUCCUUUGCUCUAA